This 204-nucleotide unclassified non-coding RNA is filed under the name Hevea brasiliensis (rubber tree). Lineage: Eukaryota; Viridiplantae; Streptophyta; Magnoliopsida; Malpighiales; Euphorbiaceae. The record is from RNAcentral.
GUUAAUAUAUGAUAAGUGAUAACAAUUAAUUGGUUUCAUGAUAGUCAAUAUGAAGUUUGGUAUGAAGUUAGAUAGCUUAAGCUUUUCACGUGUACACUAAAAUUAAUUUAACUCAAUUGUAACUGCUGGUGCUUCCACUGCAUAAAUGUUAUGCCAACCAGCUGAAGUUAGGAAGGACUGUAAAAGUUCUUAAUUAUAAAGUUG